RNAcentral lists this ribosomal RNA (693 nucleotides) under uncultured Sebacina. Its description in RNAcentral is "eukaryotic LSU rRNA". The stretch from base 198 to 351 matches the Rfam family "5.8S ribosomal RNA". The record is from RNAcentral. Lineage: Eukaryota; Fungi; Basidiomycota; Agaricomycetes; Sebacinales; Sebacinaceae.
UCGUAGUGACCUGCGGAGGAUCAUUAUUGAUUGUAAACUGUUGCCCUCUGUGCUGGCUCCUGCAAGUGCACGUUGGUGACUUUCAUUCCAAUACCCCUGUGAACCUUUGGCCUCUUGCUAGCUUCCGCUGGCAGAGGAUUCUACAUACAAACUCGAAUGUAAUGAAACUCUUGUUGUGCACAAGCACUACUAUAUACAACUUUCAACAACGGAUCUCUUGGCUCUCGCAUCGAUGAAGAACGCAGCGAAAUGCGAUAAGUAAUGUGAAUUGCAGAAUUCAGUGAAUCAUCGAAUCUUUGAACGCACCUUGCACCCUUUGGCAUUCUGAAGGGUAUGCUCGUUUGAGUGUCAUUGUACUCUCACACUUCCGAUCUUGCAUUGGGAGCGGUGGACUUGGGUUUGCUGCUUUACCGUAGCUUACCUCAAAUGUGUUAGUGCAGCUCUUGGUUGGACAUAAUACGGCGUGAUAAGUAUCUUCGCCGGUGCCUCGCAAGAGGGUGGCCGAUCAGGAUGGUGUGCUCCAAACCGUCUUCGGACAAUCUCUGACAACUUGACCUCAAAUCGAGUAAGACUACCCGCUGAACUUAAGCAUAUCAAUAAGCGGAGGAAAAGAAACUAACAAGGAUUCCCCUAGUAACGGCGAGUGAAGAGGGAAGAGCUCAAAUUUUGAAUCUGGCGUCUUUGGCGUCCGAU